Mastomys coucha (southern multimammate mouse) is the source of this 360-nucleotide long non-coding RNA. RefSeq lists it as uncharacterized. The transcript is spliced from 3 exons. Lineage: Eukaryota; Metazoa; Chordata; Mammalia; Rodentia; Muridae. The record is from RefSeq and is a predicted model, not a curated record.
AUAGAGCUAUCCACUUGGAUAGACCUUAUCAGUUGAUUAGAGCUUCCAAUCCGUAAGUCUGAAGCAAUGGAUUCAUGCUCAAUGGGUUGAAUGGAUGGCCAGAAGCACCCUGUUUUUCCAGGACACCAGACACAUCAUCAUCACUAGUAAGCAGAAUGCCAGUUUUGGUCUUCUCUCAGAUUCGAACAUUCUCUUCUUCACUUCCUCUUCUUACUCUCUUCAUUGAACUGAGCUGUUCCCAACAGAACUCAUGUUAAACAGUUUCAGCAGCUGCUCCACACCAGGCAGCCAGACGUUCACUUUAAAUGACUGUCCUCUGCUCCUCAGAGCACUCUGUGCAGCCUUUUCUCCUGGACUGUG